ACGUACGUUAAGCACCGAGCCGAACGGCGCGUGAUGUCCAUUGGUCUAUGAUCAAAACAACUACGGUACUGUGGAGGAUGAUCAAUUUUAGCUGGCAGACAACAUCUAGGGAUAAUUUACAGAGCUGUUUUUUUCCGAAAACCGAUCUGUGGGUUUUAUGAGCAUGCGCAGUGAUUCUUGAACUAAAAAUUGACAUGGAAAGAUAACAACGGCACGCGUCGCGGAUACGAGUUCGAGUUGAAUUUGACAGCGCCACCGAAGCAACCGACAAUAUUCCUUAACCUUCCACCGAUCCUAUACCCAUGCUGCGUGCCGGAAAUUGGACUCCGUUGCCGAAAUACAAUAGAAUUGGCACUUACGGACAUUACAACCAGGAGGCUGAAAGUUAUACCUCGCCUUCUCAGGAAUCUUGAUGAAGGCCCAGCAGGAUGGAGACGUCCUCCAAGAGGAUUCCCCUCACGACAACGGGGACCUACAGAGCAACCGGUACAACUCCGUCUCCCCUCCGUCCUCGCCUGCAGAUUUGGAUGAACCCUUCUCCACUUACUUUGAAGAGAAGGUGGCCAUACCCGGAAAUGUCAAUCAGGUGUUUAGUUUCCGGAAACUCUGGGCUUUCACCGGGCCCGGCUUCUUGAUGAGCAUUGCUUACUUAGAUCCGGGGAACAUUGAGUCUGACCUGCAGUCUGGAGCUAAAGCUGGAUUUAAGCUGCUAUGGGUGUUGUUGGGAGCCACCGUCAUCGGUCUGCUGUUGCAGAGAUUGGCGGCGCGUCUGGGCGUCGUCACCGGAAUGCACCUGGCCGAAGUCUGCAACAGGCAAUAUUCCACGGUCCCACGGAUCAUCCUGUGGAUCAUGGUGGAGUUAGCGAUUAUUGGCUCCGACAUGCAGGAGGUGAUCGGCUGCGCGAUAGCUCUCAAUCUUCUCUCCGUGGGCAGAAUUCCUUUAUGGGCCGGAGUACUCAUUACCAUCACCGAUACGUUCGUUUUCCUCUUUUUGGACAAAUACGGCCUGAGAAAACUGGAAGCCUUCUUCGGCUUUCUUAUCACCGUCAUGGCUAUCGCUUUCGGUUACGAGUACGUGCUGGUGAAACCGGACCAAGGAGAAGUCCUGAAGGGCAUGUUCGUGCCGUACUGCGCCGGAUGCGGGCCGGCGCAACUGGAGCAGGCCGUCGGCAUCGUCGGCGCCGUCAUCAUGCCGCACAACAUUUACCUGCACUCGGCUUUGGUCAAAUCUCGUGAAAUUGACCGUCGAAAUAAGAAGGAAGUCAAGGAAGCCAACAAGUACUUCUUCAUCGAGUCGACCGUGGCGCUCUUUGUCUCCUUCCUCAUCAACGUCUUUGUGGUGGCCGUCUUUGCCCAGGCCUUCUACAAUAAAACCAACAUGGACGUGAACACGGAGUGCAAUACAACCAGCAUCCCCCACCAAGGUCUUUUCCCCCUCAACAACGAAACACUGCAGGUGGAUAUCUACAAAGGGGGGGUGGUUCUGGGCUGUUUCUUCGGCCCCGCCGCGCUGUACAUCUGGGCCAUCGGCAUCCUGGCGGCGGGGCAGAGCUCCACCAUGACGGGCACCUACUCCGGCCAGUUUGUCAUGGAGGGUUUCUUAAACCUGCGGUGGUCUCGCUUCGCGCGAGUCUUGCUGACCCGCUCCAUCGCCAUCACGCCGACGCUGCUGGUGGCUAUUUUUCAGGAUGUGCAGCAUCUGACGGGGAUGAACGACUUCCUCAACGUGCUCCAAAGCAUGCAGGUGGGACCGCUCGCUCGGGCUUUUUUGUUACUUCCGAAGAUUUUCCGUCCGCGCCUAAGCUCAUUUUUCUUCUCGUCCCUCCCUCAGCUUCCUUUUGCUUUGAUCCCAAUUCUGACCUUCACCAGCCUGACAUCAAUCAUGAACGACUUUGCAAACGGCUUGUUUUGGAAGAUCGGCGGCGGCGCGGUCAUCCUGUUGGUUUGUGCCAUCAACAUGUACUUUGUGGUGGUCUAUGUCGCAACGCUAAACAGCGUACUUCUCUACAUCCUGGCCGCAUUGCUCUCCGUCGCCUACCUGUGCUUUGUAGGCUACCUGGCGUGGCACUGUUUGGUCGCCCUGGGAGUCACCUGCCUGGACUUUGGCAGCAGGGUAAGCAAUCGAGCGGAUGUGUUCAUAGAGGAACGGUCAGAGUACGACACCUAGAGACGAACGGCGCGGAAGACAUCCGGGACUUUUGGAGUUCUUGUCGUAGCCUUUUCAAUUUUUCGUGACCGACGGCGGGACGCGUCAAAUGCAAUGUGUUCCGGGACACUGACUUUACAGCUUGUGCUGUUGGCUUUCAUAAAGUGACACACAAUCAAUACAGCUUUUUUUUGCUUUGUUUUUGAGGAAAAGAAAAAGUUGAGCCGGUUUCUUUGACAUCCAUUUUCAGAUUGUCGCAGUACCGACUGAUCAAAAUAGGAGUUUAAAUCAAGGAAGACGGUUUUAACAAGCUUAAAUAAAGGAAGCUCAUGAGUUCAGAUGAGCAAAAAUAACCAAAAGAUUUGCCGUUGUUUAAGUGCGGUCCUACGUGACAUUUUUAGCAUUCCUAGUUGUUGGUACCGUAUUUUUCCGACUAUAAGUCGCACCUUUUUCCAUAAUUUGGCUGGGGGUGCGACUUAUACUCUGUAAUGACUUAUGUGUGAAAUGACUAACAUAAUAUAACACUUCACAUGUUAUUUUGGUGUUUUGGAGUGACACUGAUGGUUUGGUAAACGUGUUAGCAUGUUCUUGAUGCUAUAUUUCUCGGAAUAACUCUUAAUAGCUAUGUUACGUUAACAUACCGGCCACGUUCGCAUUUCGUUGUUCAUUCAUCACGUAACAUUAUCAUACUGUACACCAUGGGCGUCCAAACCUGUCCUCAAGGGCCGCUGUGGGUCCUGUUUUUUGUUCCUACUUAUCGAGCACAGACAGUUUAACCAAUGCAGUCUGUGCUAAAACAAGCAGCACCUGACUGCAAUCGACUGAUUACACUUUGAGACACCAGAUUGGGGAAAAGAUGUCGUCUUGUUGUGUAGGAACGAAAUCCAGCACACACUGCGGCCCUGUGUGGAAUAGUUUGGACACCACUGCUGUACGCUUAUUCAGCAUGUUGCUCUCGAUUGUAUUUUUAUUUUAAAUUGCUUUUCAAGAUGACAUAUCUGUUCUAUGUGUUGGAUUUUAUCCAGUAAAUUUCCCCCCAAAAUGCGACUUAUACUCUGGUGCGACUGAAAUAUAUACAGUGGGGAGAACAAGUAUUUGAUACACUGCCAAUGCCAUUGGCAGUGUAUCAAAUACUUGUUCUCCCCACUAUAUAGUUUUCCUCUUCAUUGCACAUUUUUGGGCUGGUGUGACUUCUACUCAGGUGCGACUUAUAGUCCGAAAAAUACGGUGUUCUCCCUUGUCUCGUUUUAGCCUGAGCGAGUUCAGUCACUGGCUUUCUCCUGCCCUUUUUUUCCAUAGCUCGUGUCUACUUCAUGUGUUUACAGACUAAUAAAUGUCGGUCGUUAAGCCAAAGGACAGCCGGCGUGUUGAGGGCAAAGAUUGUGCUUACAUUUCUUCAUCACUUCAAGUACAAGCAGUCAUUGGUGCUAGUGCACUUGGCAAUCCUUUUUUUGUGUGUUUCCUGAUCCAUUUUUUUCUCAACUGAGAAUGCUUCAGAAAAUGCUUAACUGUCUUCUUGGAAGGGCAUCUAGUCCAACUGAUAAAAGAGCACCAAGUUUCACGCGACAGAACGGGACCCGAUAUUUUCUUUUGCGACACUGGUAAAAAUGUGUUUUUCUUCAUCUUUAUUGUUUUUUGGUCUUUUGGGGAUGAUGAAUGUUGUAUUCAUAUUUUUAAUCCAACAUGUAACAUUAAAAGUCAAACGACACUCCAUUGGUAAGAUGUAUUGAAUCCUGUCAUGCUAUAUGACAUUUCUAGAUAUUUCUUUAAAUAAUGAGAGGACUUUUUCCCUCUGACGGCCAAUGAUUUGGGGGUCAAAAAAAAAAAAAAAGAAUGGAAAAGACUAUUUAGCGCAAGUGAGGACUCUUUCAUCCUCUGAACCAUAGGGGUCAAAUUUAUUCCACAAAGGGCCGAGCGCAGGGGUGGGCAACCCAAAAUGUUGAAGGGGGCCGUAUUAUGCCAAAAAUAGAAGCAAAUAUGUUUGGAGCAGCAAAAAAUGAAAAGCCUUAUAAGAAGCAUUACAACGAAGGCAACACAUGUUGUAUGUAUCUAUAUUAGCCUACUGUCAAGAUGACAAAGUUGGCUAUAAAUACACAGAUGAUGAAAUGAUUAUUUUCCUUGCAGUGCAUUGUAUAGAGAAUGACACACCACGUGACUACGUGUUGUUGUCCGAUACUGCCUGAAGUUGAACUUCAUUACAAUAUGAAUGAAUUAUGUUUAAUUGCUUUGAUAAAAUUAAAGAAAUCCGUUGUCAUUUUAAUUUGAAAGAUUAAAAGCGACAACAACAACAACAAAAUAGAAUGUGCAUAACAUGCCCCUUAUCUGGGUAACAAACAUAGUACAACAAAACACAGCCUGCAUUUAUAAAAAAACGAAACAGAACCCUUUUGAAGAGGUAAGGUGUAUCAUCGGAGUUCACGUACGUGCAGAAACGCGUACGGUGUUCAAUAUCGAUCACAACACACGACUCAUCACAGGUUUGCUGCCGCUGCAUUGAUGUCCUUGAUUUGGUGAUGUGGCCUGCCAUUUUUAUGGCCCUUUCCUUCACUAUCUUCGUGCGAGAGGCAGGCAUUUGAUAUUCCGUAUCUUUUGUUUUUGAAGUCUGCAAACCGGUGUAUUUGCUGAUAUGUUGACGAACGACUCCUUCAUUUACCACUCACCAUCUGUGAACGGUUUUCCACGCUUUAUUAUAUCUCGGGUUGCAACAAAACUUGCGGCAGUAGUGGAGUUUGGAGACGCAAUCCACUUUUUACAUGUAUUUUUGCUCUCCUUUAAUUCCUCCCGAAAUAAUGCAAUGGCACUUACUGGGUACUCGGCUGCAAAGUAGUAUGCCUUCCCUGGAAAUGUCUUUCCGCAUGACUCCUUUUGUGAUUUGACAGCAGAGCAAACAUUCAGAAAAUCCAUUGGCAAUAAAUGCAAUCGAUUGGGCCCAAGAAAGGUUGAAUUCUCUGUUCUCCUCCGUUUUUUUUCCUCUUUGGAAUCCACUGCCCUUUAAUAAGCCCCCGGUUUGUUUACAACGGCCCCCCUGCUGAUAGAAACGUGCGUGGCAGGCUACGACGCAAAUCUUUGUUGACAUAAAUGUUGAAAUGUAAUAUUUAUUCGACGCAUUUUUACAGCAUUAGCAACAUUAGAUUGUUUGUCCUCCUACAGAAACCAUGUUCAAAGAAAAAAUAUAUUGCCCUCCUUCAUCUUUUUCCAUUUUCAAACAUGUUUGAGACGCUCCAGGGAGCCACGCGGGCAGCACUAAUCUACUCUGUUUAAACAAUCCACCGUCCGCGUGGCUCUUCCACUAUCCCCCACCUUUCCGUCCCCCGUGUCCGUCUCUGCACCUUUGGUCCCGGAGCUUUUAGUCACUCUGCCCCCGGCUCUGGAACUCUCUACCCCCUGAUCUUGGCAGUAUAUCGACCCUUUUGCUCUUCAAAUCCAGACUCAAAAUACACCUGUUCACACGCUUUCUUACCGACCACGAUCCCUAGCUCCGUUAUAUCUUUACGUCUCUUGAUUGUUGAUGAUUGUUUUGUCGGUACUGCGAUUCCAUCUUUCUCGUAAAACGUCUUUGUGUGACUUGAAAAGCGCUCGAAAUCAAAUGUAUUAUUAUAAAGAGCCGCGUGCCGGGUUGCCGACCCCCGGCCUAGCGGGUGCGGGUUUUUGUUUCGAGCCGUCGAGAAGACGGCCUUUUCGCCGAUCUGUUGUCUUACAAUCGAUUGCCGUCAGAUACGGCUCGUUUUGGCAAAAACCUCAUUGCUCAAAAAAUCUGUGUGAUUUCAGUGGGGACAAAAAGCAGGAGGCGCUAGGGCCUUCGUGGAAUCGGUUUGUGCUCGAAAGGGUCUCUUCGGCGACCGAGAGCCACGACCCCUCGGACGACGUGUUCAUGCGGUCGUUUCAUUUAUCGCCAAAAAAGCAGGUCACAGACAUGACACAAAUGUCAUUUUGAAUGGCAACUUUCUGACUUUAGGAAACAUUAAAAAGAGCUUCAAAAGAAAAACACUUGUGCCUUUUUAGGCCAAGCCGAGGGGGGAAAAAAAGAUGGAAUCACUUCAUUCUGAGGAAAAAACGAGUACAACAAAAGAAGACUGAACUUUAUAGCACCACCUCUAGCUCAGCGGCAUGGACUUAAUGAAUGACAAACAGUAUUCUUAAUCAAUCUCUCCGAUUGCUUUUUAGCGGAUCUGCUUUGCACGUGGACAAUUUAUUCCCCUACUGAUUUUCAAUUGGACUAUUUGCAGGCAUGCGUGACAUAUCUUCCGCACUUUUUGCUCAAUAGCAAGAUGCGUUGUGAUCCUGAAAAAUGAUUUCAUCCUCCCCAAAUACCCUUUGAAUUGAAAAGCGUCCAAAACAUCUACAGUGGGGAGAACAAGUAUUUGAUGCACUGCCAAUGGGUUUUCCCCGGUGCCUUGACCUGACAGGCAAUUUUCCCGUUGAGGUCGUCUCUGUAAAUCUCACCGGAACGACACCACACAAAAGUUGAGCGUCAUCUCCUCGGUCGACGCAGAUUGGCCAUUCGUCACUGAAAUGUCUUUCAUCGAGUCUCUGCGCAGACCGCCGUUGCUUUUCCUUAGCCCGUUGUUGGGUCAAAGACAUUGACUCCGGUUUCCGCCCAGUUGUUUUGUUUUGCUUUCUCUGGUCAUACACUUGACUUUGUGUUGACGGGGCUCGGGGCAGACCGGCGGGAGGCCUAUUUUCAAAAACUUCAAAUAUUUGCUAGCGACACUCCGUGAGCGGCGACAUCAAAAAAUUCAAACUUGUUACCUAAUAAGAUGCCAAUUCGUUUUUUUUUUUUUUAUACAAGUAUAACAAAACUUAAAAUGGCUAUUCUUAAAUUUUACGCUGGAUGCACAAAAAUCACCAGAUGCAGAGAUAAUCACCUAUAUUUUCAGGAUCAAUAGCAAUAUUUAGCCAAUCAUAUGUUUUCAUCCCAAAAUAGCGACGUCAUUUGUUUUAUUUAGUGCAAGUUUUCAGGAGCAAAUAAAUCACUCCAUUUUCACAUCAGAUACUUAAUACUUGAGGAAAGCAUGCAUAAUCAUCUUAAUUUUACUCAACAGCAAAAUUAGCAUUUUUCUACAUACAAUGGCAACUUUUUUAGGUCGAAUUCCGACGUUACUAUUGCGUCAGCACGUUUUGCCGGCUAUCUGGCCCUCGUCAUGCUUUAGAUUGAAAUGUUACAUAAAAUAAAACCCGUAAAAGGCCAUUUUUUUCUUUCUUUGUAUGGGCGCAGAAAUGUCUAAAUGACUCUUUUUUUUUUUGUUUUUUUUUUUUUUUUUGCCACCCCCAAAAUAUAAAAAUGCACAGGGCGAUUCCAUCAUUUUUUUUCCUCAAAAUGGAGCAAAGCCGUUAGGGCUGCAACUAAUGACGAUUCACAUCAUCGAUUAAUUCAAAGAUUCAUCGGACCUUUAAUCAUGUCAUAUAUUUUUUGCUUGUUGUGAAAAAUUUCUGAAAAUAGUAUUAAAGGAGUAAUAUAUAAGAGCGUAUUGUGCACAUUUGUUGGAUCGGUGCUACUCAGAGCCAGCCACCACUUAUCAAAAAGAAAGUGGGAAAAUCAAAUCUGCAUCAAUUUGUUGGUGUUUUUUGUCUGAAUUUGACUAACUCUGGACACGAGGCAGUCAAGAUAAUGGACAUUAGAAUUGUAUAGUGCUCUUUUGCAGGACUUUCCAGGGUUAAAUGAGGAAAGAUCGGUCUCGCGCGGCACACCGAUAUUUAUUUACUGAAUGACAUGGACGUGGACAGUACGGUGGAGAGAUAGCGGCGGUGAUGGAGAUCCAGAACGCCGAUGGGACCUUAGCAGUACCUUUUGUAGUCACCUUUCAGUGCCUUUCAGGUUGAAGUGGAUGUGCCAUCUUGUUCUUGUUGGACUUUAAGCUAAAGUUUGGGCCCAUGACGCACUCCAGCCCCGCCCCGUUUAAAAGGACGCGGACCAAAUAAUAAUACACAGAAGGGGGUAGGAAGAAUACUAAUGCAUACACAAAUGUCAUCUGAAAAAUGGCAAAAACGUGUAUUCAUUGAAUGGGUUAGGACUAACUUCAAAUUCAUAAGCGUCAGGCAGAACAAUAGGGCAAAGAAAAACUUGUACCAUAACAUUUAGGAGCUUUUUUUUAAUAAGGGAUUUUUCCUUUUUUACCCUCACACCUAAGCACAUGGUAUUUAAACUUUAAAUAUUUGUACAUCUGUGUUUUCUUUGUAAUAAAAGUAUAAAAUUUUGUAAUGUGUAUAUAACCUCAUGUAAUUAUUCCCUUCAAUUCAUGAUAGUGAACGUGCUGAACAAUGAACACCAUUUGAAUUUGGUCAUUUGGAAAACAAUGACUUGAUCAUAUAAGUGGUUUUGUAAUUUAGGAGGAUUUUACUUAUUUAUUAGAAGUUGAAAUAAUGUGCUGGGAAACAAAGCUUUUUUGCUAUGUUAUUGGACUGACUGCUGAAUUUGAGAAAACAAGUCAAUUUGUGGGUGCUAACAUUCGCUGAACCUCUUUUAUCACGUGGCCUGUAAUUUAUUUUUGUUGUGGGAUAUGCUGGAACACUUUCCAAAUAAUACAGUGUCUCGCUUGCUUAUAAGAGCCCGUUCGACCGAAUCCCGGGCUCGACGGUGACUUCUAUCGCAUCUGUGCCUAUUUGCCUCACCUUGCCGUAUAAAAUUAAAAUGUUUUGUCAACUACAAACGUCCUAUUUUGACAAAGUUACUUCCCUUUAUAAGACUGGAUAUUGUCCUCGGAAAUGUAUUCAUAAGCGGAUCUACUAUUCAGGCGAAGUAGGCGAUCGCCUUAGGCCCCCAACCAGUAAGGGGCCCCCAACCAGCUGCCCUUGGCCCAACGAGCAAGGGCUUGGGGCACCGAAGCCAGCAGCACCCCCAACUAUUCGACAUGUAUAAUUAUGUCAGCAUACCAAACAAAUAACAAAACAAAAAAACAAAUAACAAAAAAAAAAAAAAAGCCAUUUGAAUGCUGCAUUUAUAUUAUCGUUCAUUUCUAUCGUUCAUAUCUAUCGGCUAUCGUUCAUUUCGAACACAUGAGCGAACGUGCUCUCCAUGAAAGCCAAAGUGCAGGAAGGGAGAAGUCGAGAACGGGCCGCUAAUGCCUCUUUUAACUUUCUUCUACUUCUUGGCACCGUACAUAAAAUACACGACAGCGCACCCUGUGGCUAAAAAAUGCAGUACAGUUCCAAUCAGUCAUAAAAUAACACAGCUGGUUAACAGCAUUGGCUUGCGAAAAAAAAAAAAAUAUAUAUAUAUAUAUUUGUGACACCACAAGCAAUGAUGAAGAAUGUUUUUUAUGGAGUGUAAAGCUUUCGGUUAGCGGUUUUACCGAACGUACUUCCAAUGAACAUUUCAAAAUAAAAGCACGCCAUGUUUGUCAUAUAAAUAACAAUUUCUGGAGUUAAUCCCACAUACUUCAGAAUUGAUAUUAUAAUAUGUUUAGUAAAUACUACAGAAUACAGAUUCUACACUAAGAAUAGCUUUUAAAAGACACUCUUUAUGACAAAUAUGAUUGGCAAUGAAUAAUUAUUAUAAUAUACUACUAUUAUAUAUAGUAGUAUACCAUAAUAAUAAUGCUAGAAUUUUUUUUUGUAAGAAUUUAUUUGAAUAAUGUUGGAAAGGCAAAGUCAGUGUUCUGAAUCUGUUUACAUUCUUUUGCACUAGUAAAUGCUAUCAGCAUUUAACCUCAUUGUUUAUUUGUGAUAAAUUAUUGUUAUUUACAUGAUUGAUGAUUAAUAAGCGUAAAAAAAAAUUCAUUGCUAAAUUAGUAAAAAAAAGAAAAUUAUUAGAUUAGUCGACUAAUCGUAAAAGUAGUCGGCUGACUAAUCAGGAGAAAAUUUGUCGUUUAGGACAGCCCUAGUUUACCGGAACAUAUUUCCUUCACACCCUUCUCACCUUUUUAACCCCUGACCCAAGAAGAGGGCCCCUGGAUAUGUUCGCCUUAGGCCCCAAAAUUGCCAAGUCCGCCACAGAAUGUAUUCAUAUACGUAUAUCCGGUCUGUUGUGCAUACAUUUGGAAGUUGGUCUUCGACCCAAAUUACCGUAUGUUCUAAGAACAGGGAAAACAGUCAGGUAGCCAACAAUCUGACCGUUGUGACAAACCAGCUGUAGAGACAAGGAAUUGACUUGAUUUAAAUGGAGUCAAAUGGUGUACUUUCCAUUGGAAAUGAUUAUUUCAUACCACAGUAUUGAUACUUUGCUGAGUUGGUCAUUUUUAACCACACCACCUUGGCAUUUAUACAACAUGCCCACUUUGUUUUAUAGAUUUUUGUCAUUUCAAAAUUUGUGAAUAAAAAUGUCAGACGUGCAAAAAAAAAAUGUGUGCGCUCCUUUAAAUACUGGCAAAUCAUCACAAUGUAUUUUUAGCAUUCAUCAUACAAACGGUUCUGCAUCAAAAAUCAUUUUCUAGCAUUGAAUAGAAUGACGGUUAUUGGCUCCGCCUGCUACCCAUAGCCGGUAUAGAUGGGCCACAGCCCCCCGAUGACCCCCGUGAGGAUCAGCGACAUGGACGCUAAAUGAAACAUUUUAUUUUUUAUUGAACAAUAUACACAGAAAACAAAGCACUCAAGUAUCUACAUCAAAUACAAUAUUAUAGACUGAGCAUAACCGAACAACCAAUAGCAAUGACAACAACAACCACCACAACAAACACAAAAGUAAACAAAAAAAACAACUUUUUUUCUCUUGAAAGGACUUCCUAAACCAACUUAAAAAGUCUGAAUAAAGAAAACAAAUGAUGGGCCUUCCCAUUGAUCACAUUCAAAACUUUGCAAUAUAUAGAGAAAUCAUUUCUCCAGUGAGCCAUACAGGGUUUGGUUUUAAAAAACCUACACUUAUGAACAAAAAAAUUCCCCAUAAGCAAUAUUACAUUUAAAACAAAUUCUAAAUUUUUAUACUUUAGAUAAACACCAAAUAAAAUUCUUUCUUCCGUCAGGGGUAGAUCAAUAUUCUUAGAUUGCAGCCAUUUGUUUAAUUGACUCCAGAAGGAAUGAACAACAUUACAGUGAAAAAAUAUUUGACUUAAAUUUUCUAAAUCUACAUCACAAAAAGUACAGUUAUUCACUUCAAAACCAAAUUUCAAUCUUAAAAAUUCUUUCGUUGGGUCAAUUUCGUUCAAAAUCUUGAAUUGGACCUCCUUAGCUUUAGGAGGCACCGGAAAUAAAACAAUUGUUUCAUAUACUUUUAAUCUUAUCGAUAUCAAAUCAUUUCAAAAUAUAUAUCCUCUUAAUUGGAUUCGGAUAAUAUUCAUUAAUCAACAAUUUCCUGAAAACUUUGUUACAUUUACUAUCCCAAAAAUCCUGUAUAAUUUCCUCAGAUUCUGAGAGACUCGAGAGUACUGCACCUCAUCCUUCACCAUUGGUUUUACUGCCAUUGGGAUUGCAUUCAUUAACUUUGUGAAUUCUUUUAGACUCGCUAAAUGAAACUGGCAGCAGCAAGUCCAAAAUACACUGAUGGAAAGUGACUUUAAAAAAAAUACUGUUGGAAACAGACCUCAAUAAAUUAAAAGAAAAAAAAAAGAAAAAAUGGGCAUUUUAGCAGUGAGAAAAAGCGGAAGUGGAAAAUUCCUCACAGACUGAACAAUUUUUGGAAUUUUGUAUUUA
This is an RNA transcript of Corythoichthys intestinalis (scribbled pipefish), 11707 nucleotides long. It is a transcript of the gene named solute carrier family 11 member 2, with no coding region annotated. The transcript is spliced from 16 exons. The record is from RefSeq and is a predicted model, not a curated record. NCBI's taxonomy places the organism in Eukaryota, Metazoa, Chordata, Actinopteri, Syngnathiformes, Syngnathidae.